This 366-nucleotide ribosomal RNA is filed under the name uncultured fungus. RNAcentral describes it as "LSU rRNA". It matches the Rfam family "Eukaryotic large subunit ribosomal RNA", at positions 65 to 424 of the family's 3401-position model. The record is from RNAcentral. Lineage: Eukaryota; Fungi.
CCAACAGGGUAUUGCCCCAGUAACGGCGAGUGAAGCGGCAACAGCUCAAAUUUGAAAUCUGGAGUCGUUCUGGCUUCCGAGUUGUAAUUUGCAGAGGGUGUCUCGGAGGGCGGGUCGGUCCAAGUGCCUUGGAACAGGAUACCAAAGAGGGUGAGAGUCCCGUAUCCGGCCGAUUUCGCGCUCCGUGUGAGACCCCUUCGACGAGUCGAGUUGUUUGGGAAUGCAGCGUCUAAGCGGGUGGUAAAUUCCAUCUAAAGCUAAAUACCGGCCAGAGACCGAUAGCGAACAAGUAGAGUGAUCGAAAGAUGAAAAGCACUUUGAAAAGAGAGUCAAACAGUACGUGAAAUUGUUGAAAGGGAAGCGCAU